This 254-nucleotide ribosomal RNA is filed under the name uncultured bacterium. RNAcentral describes it as "partial 16S ribosomal RNA". It matches the Rfam family "Bacterial small subunit ribosomal RNA", at positions 524 to 776 of the family's 1533-position model. The record is from RNAcentral.
GACGAACCGUGCGAACGUUAUUCGGAAUCAUUGGGCUUAAAGGGCGCGUAGGCGGCGGUGUAAGUUGGACGUGAAAUCCCAUCGGCUCAACCGUGGAAUUGCUCCCAGUACUGCACUGCUCGAGGGGGAUAGGGGUCCGCGGAACUACCGGUGGAGCGGUGAAAUGUGUUGAUAUCGGUGGGAACGCCAGUGGCGAAAGCGGCGGACUUGACCCUUCCUGACGCUGAUGCGCGAAAGCUAGGGGAGCAAACGGG